Octopus bimaculoides (California two-spot octopus) is the source of this 345-nucleotide long non-coding RNA. The record is from RefSeq and is a predicted model, not a curated record. NCBI's taxonomy places the organism in Eukaryota, Metazoa, Mollusca, Cephalopoda, Octopoda, Octopodidae.
CUUGACAAUACAACAAUCACUUGAUUAUCGCGGGUGUUACGUUCCAAAACCACCCGCGAUAGGUGAAUAUCCGUAAAGUAGAAACAGUACUGCAUGCUGCAGAAUAUAUUAGAAAUGAAGACACAUUCGACCCUGUACCUUUUCGUAAUCCUAGCUGUCUUAGUUUGAGGAAAGGUCAACAGUGAAGAAUUUAAUGACGGCAAUACGGCUGGUUCAAAUGCUGAGAAGAGGAACAUGAUGAACGCAGCUAUUGAUGUUCCAGCUGCCGAUAGAGUUGGACGCGAAAACUCUGGAGUAAACAUGAUUGAAGACAAAGAAAAACGAGCAGACAAAAUCCCUAACAGU